GACGAACGCUGGCGGCGUGCUUAACACAUGCAAGUCGAACGGAAAGGCCCCCUUGUGGGGUACUCGAGUGGCGAACGGGUGAGUAACACGUGAGUAACCUACCCUUGACUUUGGGAUAACUUCAGGAAACUGGGGCUAAUACCGGAUCGGAGCUCCUGCUGCAUGGUGGGGUUUGGAAGUGUUCGGCGGUUGGGGAUGGACUCGCGGCUUAUCAGCUGGUUGGUGGGGUAGUGGGUCACCAAGGCUUUGACGGGUGGCCGGCCUGAGAGGGUGACCGGCCACAUUGGGACUGAGAGACGGCCCAGACUCCUACGGGAGGCAGCAGUGGGGAAUAUUGCACAAUGGGCGGAAGCCUGAUGCAGCAACGCCGCGUGCGGGAAGACGGCCUUUGGGUUGUAAACCGCUUUCGCCUGUGACGAAGCGUGAGUGACGGUAAUGGGUAAAGAAGCACCGGCUAACUACGUG
This 465-nucleotide ribosomal RNA is filed under the name uncultured bacterium. Its description in RNAcentral is "partial 16S ribosomal RNA". It matches the Rfam family "Bacterial small subunit ribosomal RNA", at positions 28 to 507 of the family's 1533-position model. The record is from RNAcentral.